RNAcentral lists this ribosomal RNA (484 nucleotides) under uncultured bacterium. RNAcentral describes it as "partial 16S ribosomal RNA". It matches the Rfam family "Bacterial small subunit ribosomal RNA", at positions 28 to 507 of the family's 1533-position model. The record is from RNAcentral.
AUUGAGCGCUGGCGGCAUGCUUUACACAUGCAAGUCGAACGGCAGCGCGGGCUUCGGCCUGGCGGCGAGUGGCGAACGGGUGAGUAAUGCAUCGGAACGUGCCCAGUAGUGGGGGAUAGCCCGGCGAAAGCCGGAUUAAUACCGCAUACGACCUGAGGGUGAAAGCGGGGGACCGAAAGGCCUCGCGCUAUUGGAGCGGCCGAUGUCGGAUUAGCUAGUUGGUGGGGUAAAGGCUUACCAAGGCGACGAUCCGUAGCUGGUCUGAGAGGACGACCAGCCACACUGGGACUGAGACACGGCCCAGACUCCUACGGGAGGCAGCAGUGGGGAAUUUUGGACAAUGGGGGCAACCCUGAUCCAGCCAUGCCGCGUGCGGGAAGAAGGCCUUCGGGUUGUAAACCGCUUUUGUUCGGGAAGAAAUCCUCUGGGCUAAUACCCCGGGGGGAUGACGGUACCGGAAGAAUAAGCACCGGCUAACUACGUG